AGAGUUUGAUCCUGGCUCAGGAUGAACGCUGGCGGUCUGCUUAACACAUGCAAGUCGAACGAAUCCCUUCGGGGAUGAGUGGCGGACGGGUGAGUAACGCGUGAGAAUCUACCAAAAGGACUGGGACAACCACUGGAAACGGUGGCUAAUACCGGAUGAGCCGCAACGUAAAAGAGGAAACUCGCCUUUUGAAGAGCUCGCGUCUGAUUAGCUAGUUGGUGAGGUAAAGGCUCACCAAGGCGGCGAUCAGUAGCUGGUCUGAGAGGAUGAUCAGCCACACUGGGACUGAGACACGGCCCAGACUCCUACGGGAGGCAGCAGUGGGGAAUUUUCCGCAAUGGGCGAAAGCCUGACGGAGCAAGACCGCGUGAGGGAGGAAGGCUCUUGGGUUGUAAACCUCUUUUGUCAGGGAAGAACACAAUGACGGUACCUGAAGAAUCAGCAUCGGCUAACUCCAUGCCAGCAGCCGCGGUAAUACGGAGGAUGCAAGCGUUAUCCGGAAUUAUUGGGCGUAAAGCGUCCGCAGGUGGCACUUCAAGUCUGCUGUCAAAGACCGGGGCUUAACCCUGGAAAGGCAGUGGAAACUGAAGCGCUAGAGUGUGGCAGGGGUAGAGGGAAUUCCCGGUGUAGCGGUGAAAUGCGUAGAGAUCGGGAAGAACAUCGGUGGCGAAAGCGCUCUACUGGGCCACAACUGACACUCAGGGACGAAAGCUAGGGGAGCGAAUGGGAUUAGAUACCCCAGUAGUCC
RNAcentral lists this ribosomal RNA (748 nucleotides) under uncultured bacterium. RNAcentral describes it as "bacterial SSU rRNA". It matches the Rfam family "Bacterial small subunit ribosomal RNA", at positions 8 to 796 of the family's 1533-position model. The record is from RNAcentral.